Molecule: ribosomal RNA, 514 nt
Filed under: saccharomycete sp. KCH
Lineage: Eukaryota; Fungi; Ascomycota; Saccharomycetes
Description: eukaryotic LSU rRNA
Rfam family: 5.8S ribosomal RNA (bases 138-290)
Source: RNAcentral
CUUCCGUUAGGGGAACCUGCGGAAGGAUGAUUCAUGUGAUUUACUACUACACUGCGUGAGCGGAACGAAAACAACAACACCUAAAAUGUGGAAUAUAGCAUAUAGUCGACAAGAGAAAUCUACGAAAAAACAAACAAAACUUUCAACAACGGAUCUCUUGGUUCUCGCAUCGAUGAAGAGCGCAGCGAAAUGCGAUACCUAGUGUGAAUUGCAGCCAUCGUGAAUCAUCGAGUUCUUGAACGCACAUUGCGCCCCUCGGCAUUCCGGGGGGCAUGCCUGUUUGAGCGUCGUUUCCAUCUUGCGCGUGCGCAGAGUUGGGGGAGCGGAGCGGACGACGUGUAAAGAGCGUCGGAGCUGCGACUCGCCUGAAAGGGAGCGAAGCUGGCCGAGCGAACUAGACUUUUUUUCAGGGACGCUUGGCGGCCGAGAGCGAGUGUUGCGAGACAACAAAAAGCUCGACCUCAAAUCAGGUAGGAAUACCCGCUGAACUUAAGCAUAUCAAUAAGCGGAGGAA